This 450-nucleotide ribosomal RNA is filed under the name uncultured bacterium. RNAcentral's name for it is "partial 16S ribosomal RNA". It matches the Rfam family "Bacterial small subunit ribosomal RNA", at positions 354 to 796 of the family's 1533-position model. The record is from RNAcentral.
GUGGGGAAUUUUGGACAAUGGGCGCAAGCCUGAUCCAGCCAUGCCGCGUGAGUGAAGAAGGCCUUCGGGUUGUAAAGCUCUUUCGGCCGGGAAGAAAUCGGCGACUCUAACAUAGUCGCUGGAUGACGGUACCGGACUAAGAAGCACCGGCUAACUACGUGCCAGCAGCCGCGGUAAUACGUAGGGUGCGAGCGUUAAUCGGAAUUACUGGGCGUAAAGCGUGCGCAGGCGGUUUUGUAAGACAGAUGUGAAAUCCCCGGGCUUAACCUGGGAACUGCGUUUGUGACUGCAAGGCUAGAGUACGGCAGAGGGGGGUGGAACUCCUGGUGUAGCAGUGAAAUGCGUAGAUAUCAGGAGGAACACCGAUGGCGAAGGCAGCCCCCUGGGCCUGUACUGACGCUCAUGCACGAAAGCGUGGGGAGCAAACAGGAUUAGAAACCCGUGUAGUCC